GAGUUUGAUCAUGGCUCAGGAUGAACGCCGGCGGUGUGCCUAAUACAUGCAAGUCGUACGCACUGGCCCAACUGAUUGAUGGUGCUUGCACCUGAUUGACGAUGGAUCACCAGUGAGUGGCGGACGGGUGAGUAACACGUAGGUAACCUGCCCGGAGCGGGGGAUAACAUUUGGAAACAGAUGCUAAUACCGCAUAACAACAAAGGCCACAUGGCUUCUGUUUGAAAGAUGGCUUUGGCCAUCACUCUGGGAUGGACCUGCGGUGCAUUAGCUAGUUGGUAAGGUAACGGCUUACCAAGGCGAUGAUGCAUAGCCGAGUUGAGAGACUGAUCGGCCACAAUGGAACUGAGACACGGUCCAUACUCCUACGGGAGGCAGCAGUAGGAAUCUUCCACAAUGGCGCAAGCCUGAUGGAGCAACACCGCGUGAGUGAAGAAGGGUUUCGGCGUCGUAAAGCUCUGUUGUUGGAGAAGAACGUGCGUGAGAA
Molecule: ribosomal RNA, 487 nt
Filed under: uncultured microorganism
Description: bacterial SSU rRNA
Rfam family: Bacterial small subunit ribosomal RNA
Source: RNAcentral